GAGUUUGAUCCUGGCUCAGAACGAACGCUGGCGGCGCGUUUUAAGCAUGCAAGUCAAAGGGGCUAUUUAUAGCGAUAUAGAUAGCAACUGGCGCACGGGUGAGUAAUAUGUGAGAAUCUACCCUAAGGACUGGGAUAGUAUGCAGAAAUGCAUAGUAAUACCGGAUAUGCCGAGAGGUGAAAAGGUCAACUGAUCUGCCUUAGGAUGAGCUUGCAUCCCAUUAGCUAGUUGGUAGGGUAAGAGCCUACCAAGGCGACGAUGGGUAGCCGGCCUGAGAGGGUGAACGGCCACAUUGGAACUGAGACACGGUCCAGACUCCUACGGGAGGCAGCAGCUAAGAAUCUUCCGCAAUGGGAGGAAUCCUGACGGAGCGACGCCGCGUGAACGAUGAAGGCAGAAAUGUUGUAAAGUUCUUUUGUAUGGGAAGAAUAAGGGGAGGAGUGGAAAGCCUCUCUGAUGACGGUACCAUACGAAUAAGCCACGGCUAACUACGUGCCAGCAGCCGCGGUAAUACGUAGGUGGCAAGCGUUGUUCGGAAUCAUUGGGCGUAAAGGGCAUGUAGGUGGUUUUACAAGUGUGAGUUGAAAUACCGAAGCUUAACUUCGAGUAUGGCUUGCAAACUGUAAGACUGGAGUGUAGAAGGGGAGACUGGAAUUCCGCGUGUAGGGGUGAAAUCUGUAAAUAUGCGGAAGAAUACCUGUGGCGAANGCGAGUCUCUGGUCUACAACUGACACUGAAAUGCGAAAGUGUGGGGAGCAAACAGGAUUAGAUACCCUGGUAGUCCACACUGUAAACGUUGUACACUAGGCGUUAGGGGAUUUAAUCUUCUAGUGCCGAAGCUAACGCGUUAAGUGUACCGCCUGGGGAGUAUGCUCGCAAGGGUGAACUCAAAGGAUUUGANGGGGCCCGCACAAGCGGUGGAGCAUGUGGUUUAAUUCGAUGAUACGCGAAGAACCUUACCAGGGCUUGACAUCUUUCUGACAGGGUAGAGA
This 992-nucleotide ribosomal RNA is filed under the name uncultured bacterium. RNAcentral's name for it is "bacterial SSU rRNA". It matches the Rfam family "Bacterial small subunit ribosomal RNA", at positions 9 to 1006 of the family's 1533-position model. The record is from RNAcentral.